This 581-nucleotide ribosomal RNA is filed under the name Sphingomonadales bacterium Ri2Pw_5877. RNAcentral's name for it is "bacterial SSU rRNA". It matches the Rfam family "Bacterial small subunit ribosomal RNA", at positions 395 to 992 of the family's 1533-position model. Lineage: Bacteria; Pseudomonadati; Pseudomonadota; Alphaproteobacteria; Sphingomonadales. The record is from RNAcentral.
UGCCGCGUGAGUGAUGAAGGCCUUAGGGUUGUAAAGCUCUUUUUCCAGGGAUGAAAAUGUCAGUACCUGGAGAAUCAUCUCCGGCUAGCUCCAUGCCAGAAGCCGCGGUAAUACGGAGGGAGCUAGCGUUGUUCGGAAUUACUGGGCGUAAAGCGUACGUAGGCGGUUAUUCGGGUCAGGGGUGAAAGCCUGGAGCUCAACUCCAGAACUGCCCUUGAAACUAGAUAACUAGAAUCUUGGAGAGGUGAGUGGAAUUCCGAGUGUAGAAGUGAAAUUCGUAGAGAUUCGGAAGAACGCCAGUGGCGAAGGCGACUCACUGGACAAGUAUUGACGCUGAGGUACAAGAGCGUGGGGAGCAAACAGGAUUAGAUACCCUGGUAGUCCACGCCAUAAACGAUGAUGACUAGCUGUUCGGGAUCUACAAGCUUGAGUGGCGCAGCUAACGCAUUAAGUUAUCCGCCUGGGGAGUACGGUCGCGAGAUUAAAACUCAAAGGAAUUGACCGGGGCCUGCACAAGCGGUGGAGCAUGUGGUUUAAUUCGAAAGCAACGCGCAUAACCUUACCAGCGUUUGACAUCCUAA